RNAcentral lists this ribosomal RNA (514 nucleotides) under uncultured kinetoplastid. Its description in RNAcentral is "bacterial SSU rRNA". It matches the Rfam family "Eukaryotic small subunit ribosomal RNA", at positions 615 to 1026 of the family's 1831-position model. The record is from RNAcentral. Lineage: Eukaryota; Euglenozoa; Kinetoplastea.
GCUGUUAAGGGUUCGUAGUUGAAUACGGAGAUGUGAGUUUUCGCAAGUUCGCUUGCUCUUCUUCCAACUCUGUCAUAGACGGGACCGGAGCCUUGCGGACGCGCUCCUUCACUGGAGUGCGAUGCUGUUAGCUGAAGAGGUUAACAUAUCGCAUGCGACGCAUGCUUGGCCGCCCGUCGUUUCACUGUGAAGAAAACAGCGUGUUCAAGGCAGCCGCUUGCGGUUGUAUGACAAAGCUGGAAUGACAAAGUAUCGACCAAUGGGUCCGUCUCUUGUCGGUUUUUACGAUCCAUUUGGUAAUUUGUUUUCAAAGCCUUCCGCUCACUGUUCGCAGUGUCGGAACUUUGAUGAACACGGGUUAAUGGGGGUUGUCGGGGGAAAACGUAUCUGAGCGUGAGAGGUGAAAUUCUUAGCCGCUCGGGGACGAACUUAUGCGAAGGCAUUUUCCAAGUAUACCUUCAUCAAUCAAGAACUAAGUGUGGAGAUCGAAGAUGAUUAGAUACCAUUGUAGUCC